Molecule: regulatory RNA element, 102 nt
Organism: Erwinia sp. Leaf53
Lineage: Bacteria; Pseudomonadati; Pseudomonadota; Gammaproteobacteria; Enterobacterales; Erwiniaceae
Rfam family: Gammaprotebacteria rimP leader
Source: Rfam
UCACCGCUGGUGAUACACAGGGUCCAGUCACUUAAAGCCCCGAAUUUUCGGGGUUUUUUGUUAUUACGAAUCAGCAUCACUGGGCUAUUAAGCCCUUUUUUU